GAUGAACGCUAGCUACAGGCUUAACACAUGCAAGUCGAGGGGCAGCAUGAACAAAGCUUGCUUUGUUUGAUGGCGACCGGCGCACGGGUGCGUAACACGUAUCCAAUCUGCCCGCGGCUCGGGGGAUAGCCCAUCGAAAGAUGGAUUAAUACCCGAUGUCACCUUUAUGGUGCAUGCCAUAUUGGUUAAAGUUAUUCGGUACGGGAUGGGGAUGCGUCUGAUUAGGUAGUAGGCGGGGUAACGGCCCACCUAGCCGACGAUCAGUAGGGGUUCUGAGAGGAAGGUCCCCCANACUGGAACUGAGACACGGUCCAGACUCCUACGGGAGCAGCAGUGAGGAAUAUU
RNAcentral lists this ribosomal RNA (345 nucleotides) under uncultured bacterium. RNAcentral's name for it is "bacterial SSU rRNA". It matches the Rfam family "Bacterial small subunit ribosomal RNA", at positions 28 to 365 of the family's 1533-position model. The record is from RNAcentral.